This 496-nucleotide ribosomal RNA is filed under the name uncultured bacterium. RNAcentral describes it as "partial 16S ribosomal RNA". It matches the Rfam family "Bacterial small subunit ribosomal RNA", at positions 28 to 506 of the family's 1533-position model. The record is from RNAcentral.
GAUGAACGCUGGCGGCGUGCCUAAUACAUGCAAGUCGAGCGAACGGACGAGAAGCUUGCUUCUCUGAUGUUAGCGGCGGACGGGUGAGUAACACGUGGAUAACCUACCUAUAAGACUGGGAUAACUUCGGGAAACCGGAGCUAAUACCGGAUAAUAUUAUGAACCGCAUGGUUCAAAAGUGAAAGACGGUCUUGCUGUCACUUAUAGAUGGAUCCGCGCUGCAUUAGCUAGUUGGUAAGGUAACGGCUUACCAAGGCAACGAUGUAUAGCCGACCUGAGAGGGGGAUGGGCCACACGGGACCUGAGACACGGUCCAAACCCCCACGGGGGGCAGCAGGAGGGAAUCUUCCGAAAGGGGCGAAAGCCUGACGGAGCAACGCCGGGGGAGUGAAGAAGGUUUUCGGAUCGUAAAACUCUGUUAUUGGGGAAGAACAUAUUUGAAAGUAACUGGGCAAAUCUUGACGGUACCAAACCAGAAAGCCACGGCUAACUACGG